Sarcophilus harrisii (Tasmanian devil) is the source of this 3912-nucleotide long non-coding RNA. The record is from Ensembl. NCBI's taxonomy places the organism in Eukaryota, Metazoa, Chordata, Mammalia, Dasyuromorphia, Dasyuridae.
AAGUGACUUGCCUGGGGGUAAUAUAACAAGUAAGUGUCUGAAGAUGAACUCAAGUCUAAUUGAAUCCAGGUCCAGCACUUUAUCCACUUGGUCACUUAACUGCCUCUUAGUAGUUGACCCUGUACUGUAUCUUCCAGAGUUGCACAGAACAUACCUCCCAUAGGUCACGUGGCUCUGUAACCAGAAGCAUUUGCUUGAAUGAUGCACAGUGUAAUACAAUUUUAUCACUGCUGAUAACGUUUCUGGGAAAAGUGGAUGUUAACUAUAUAUGUCCCUGUUUAGAAGAAAGUAGGAUAUUUAUAUGAAUUUAAAUUUAUUAUUUUUUCCUAUCACAAAUGAUGUACAUGUUAUAUUUUGGUGGAAAACAACAUGUUUCUUUAUAUUAUGCUGUACAUUAGAGUAGAAAGGGAGCUGAAAAGUCAAGAAAUCUGAGUUCUGGUAUUGGCUCUGGUAUCUACUUGACUAUGUGACCUAAGGCAAGCCAUUCAGAGUUUUGAUUUCUUCAACAGUGAAAACAGUUAAGUCAGAAAAGAGUAUCUUUAAGGUCAUGUGAUACUUUUUCAUAUCACUUAGAACUUUAAACACUGAAGUCAGAAUCCAGUAUAUUGUAUGAAGGGAUUAUGUUAUCCAGGUAGGCCAAAAGAAUAAUUCAUGUAUAUUAUUUACCUGUGAAUAACAGUUCUUUGAAACAUUAUUAACUGUAGAGUAGAGCUCAUGUGGUACAAAGUAGGGAUAUAAGAGCAUAACUAUUCAUGAACUAAUUUUUUGUAAAAAUCUAUCUAAAAUUAUAGAAUAUUAAGCCAUCUAAAAAUUUUCAGUCCCUUUUUUAAAAACAGGAUGAAUGGAUGGAUGAACAAACCAAAUUUAAGGUGUAGCAUGUCUUUUAGUAAUGUAUUUGAUUUGCUUAAAAGUAAUUGAGGGAGAAAAAGAGAAAAAUGAGGGGAAAAGUGACCUUAAAACAGACACUUUGGUAAACAAAAGCUAAAUGAAAGUCUUAAGAAUUCUAUAAAUUAUGUUGUACUCAUAGUAAUGAAAUCCAAAAAAUGUAAUUCUGAUGAUGAUGGUUAUGGUAUUUACCAAGUAUGUAUAUGUGAUACAGACAUGUAAAUAUGCUUAAAAACUAAUUUUUAGGGCAUGUGUUUCAAUUACAAUCAAUGUCAUAUUCUGGAGACAAACUUUCAACAUAGGUGAUAAUUAUCUUUCAGCAAUGAAGAUUAGAUUUACCUUGUUAGCUUUGGUGAGCAGAGCAACUUUUUGCCUAACCAUUCCCCCCAAAAAAAGCCAUUUUUAAAAUAAAUACUAAGGAGCCAUUAGAUACGAUUUUUUUAUUGUUCAUUUAAUGUAAGCCAGAUAGGAUACUAAAAAGGCAGUUGUAACUCCUUUACAUAGUAUAAAUUUACAUCUGGUACUUCUGAGUUAAACUUUUUUUGUGCGACCAUUAAAAUAAUGGAUAUCCUAUAAGAUAUCUUAUAGAAUACAUUUUCUGAGAAGAGCCUAGAUAUAUAGAUAUAGAUAUAGAUCUAUAUAUACACUAGGCAUUAAAAAAUAACUUGGCCACAUAUUGAUAGAUACUUUGGUAGGAAUUUCUUGGAGGAGGAUCACUCCCAGCAAAUUUUGGUCUCAAGAAGAAGGCCAGUUGAAACUUUUGACUGGGAUAAGCUUUUGCACACCUUGCCAGUUAGAGAGAUAGUCAAUAUAAGAGGCAAUUGACUUCCUCAAUCUUGAUUUGAGGCUAAACUAAUUUGGCCACAGAAUACUUUGGGAUUUAACAUACACUAUAGACAUAUUUUUUCUCUCUGAAUGCUGGUCUGGCAGCAUGGACUAUCCAUAGACUAAAGAAAAAUUAAGGACUGUUGAAGCAGGAAAAAAAAAUAAGCCUAUUUUCAUAUCCCAAUAUUGCCACAUGUAAAUAGAUAUUUUUGAUACAUGAUUGCAUUUUUAAUAUUUUAAAGAGGAAAGUGUUACUUGGAUUGACAUAUUCUCACAGAACCUCUAAUUAUAUCAUGCUGAAUGCUAACCAGGGUGCAGGCCUAGUUUAGAUUUUUCCUUUUAUACAUUUCUUAGAUCUUUUCUGAUUAUAUUUAUGUGCUUGUACUUACACAUAUGCAAUCAGUAAUGAAAAGGUAAACUUAAACUUAUUUUAAGAAAAUUAUGGACUUGGUGACUUUUUAACAAUUUGGUAAUACUAUACAUAUUUGGAAAAAGCAAACUAUUAAUGUUCCUCCUAAAUAGGGGACAGAGGCUAGAGAAAAACCCUUGCCAGUGAACAAUGAAUUAUAACUACCAUCUAAAGCAGACAUAUUUCAAAUUGAGAUUACGUCAUUGAUCAGCUCUUCUCAUCCUUUUUGUUUUUUUCUGUUUUAAUACCUACCACACUCCCCAAAUCAUCCAUAAAAUUUCCCCUUUUCUCUAUAGGGCUUUAUUUAUACCUCUUACCUCUCUCAAUAUAUGGCCUCACCUCCUACUUUGCAGAGAUUAAGGCCAUGAGUUAUAAUCUCUAUAUUUUCCCAUAUCUCAAAAAGCUCUGUGCAUUUCCACCACUUGUUUCCUUCUUUGCUCUAGUGUCAUAGAAUGAAUUGGCCCCUCUUCUGGUUUUCUAACAUAUACCUUGGAUCCUAUUCUCCUUCUCUUUCAGAAGUUUGCCCCAUUGAUCAUUCCUAAUUUCUAUUUCCUUGUUCCUUUGAGCUGUUCAGCUUUCCGAAAUCCUUUAAAAAGCCUACUAGGCAACAGUACCAUCCCUUCAUGCUAUCACUCUAUAACUCACUGUUUUUUCACUGCUUAAUAGGCAGAAAAAAAUAGCAUGGAGAAGGCAAUUGCAAAUGCCUAAGUGGUAAUAAUUAAGACCAGCUUGUCUUUUAUCGCCUCAAAACAGCACCAAAUGUGCCAAAUAAAAUUAGCAACCAAAGAGAAAGAGAAAAAAAGAAAUCUGCAGAGGAAAAAAUGAAAAGAGCAACUAAAAAAAAUAUGUGGCACAAAAAGGCCCAAACAACAAUGUCAACAAGAUACUCAGAUGCAAAAAUGGAUCUACGGUAAAAAAAAUCUUCAAAGUAGUUUGGAAGUACCAUACACUAAAUGAAAGGAAAUCUAGCAUCUAGUAAAAUGGAUACAGAAUUAAUGAACAGAAAACAAACAAACAUGAUAUUUAGCAGGGCCAAGAAUCAGUGGAAAAUCUUAAUAAAUCAAUGAAUUUUCUUUGGAAUAGAAAAGCUCAUAUAGAAAACAUGAGUACAGAAGUAACAACAGAUAACAAAGCAGAAAUUUAAAAACAAAUAACAAAAAAAAAAAAAAAGCAGAAGUGGGAUAUCUGUAAUCCUAACAAAAAUAUCAGAAGUAGUAGACAAAACUUACUGAGAAUUACUUAUGUCACAAUAGAUACACAGAAUGUAAAUGCCAUGUUUCAGGAAAUAAUAAAGACAAUUUCCUGGAAGAAGUGAUUAAAGAGAACACCCAAUGUAACAUCAUAAAUCUGAAGAGCUAUAUAGUUACUUGAAAGAAGUGGAAUUAACUGAGUAAAAGAAGUCAACUCUAGCAACCCCACAUGCUUUAUUUGUUUGGGGAUUUCUUCAAAAAUAGGUUAGUUCUUAUGGGAAAAUGGAGGCCCACUGGAGAGGGAAAGAAGGUUAUUUUGUGCUAUUCAACUGUUCAUUUGUUUAUGGAUUUGGAUGUGAGUAUUCUGUAUUUUUGAUGUUUGCUGUUAGGUCAAUAAAGCCUGUCCUAUAUUUGAUGUAUUGUUGGUCUGAAUGCUUGCAAAGGAACAGAAGAUCCUUUAUCUUUGCGUACAAACUUAGCCACAAGCAAAAUUCUGACAUAGCCAAGGAAAAGCUAGCUGGAGACAUUAGUCAGUGGAUAUAUGUUAGGGGGAAGCUAGCCUUGCCUAUGUAAACUUAAACCAUUUGAUUCUGUACUAUAGGU